CCUACGGGAGGCAGCAGUGGGGAAUAUUGCACAAUGGGGGAAACCCUGAUGCAGCGACGCCGCGUGAAGGAAGAAGUAUUUCGGUAUGUAAACUUCUAUCAGCAGGUAAGAAGAUGACGGUACCUGACUAAGAAGCACUGGCUAAAUACGUGCCAGCAGCCGCGGUAAUACGUAUGGUGCAAGCGUUAUCCGGAUUUACUGGGUGUAAAGGGAGCGUAGACGGAGAGGCAAGUCUGAAGUGAAAGCCCGGGGCUCAACCCCGGGACUGCUUUGGAAACUGCAGUUCUAGAGUGCCGGAGAGGUAAGCGGAAUUCCUAGUGUAGCGGUGAAAUGCGUAGAUAUUAGGAGGAACACCAGUGGCGAAGGCGGCUUACUGGACGGUGACUGACGUUGAGGCUCGAAAGCGUGGGGAGCAAACAGGAUUAGAUACCCCUGUAGUC
RNAcentral lists this ribosomal RNA (440 nucleotides) under uncultured bacterium. Its description in RNAcentral is "bacterial SSU rRNA". It matches the Rfam family "Bacterial small subunit ribosomal RNA", at positions 338 to 795 of the family's 1533-position model. The record is from RNAcentral.